GACACUCACUAGUACGCGAAGCUCAUCACAGUCACAGGUGGAUGAAAGUUGUGAAAAUUGAUCAGGUACAAAGGAAUUUGGUGUUUCUGUUUCGGUCUGAUGUAUUUGGAUGGUAAAAUAUGUUGUUGGUAAACCGUUAUGAGUGAUGUAGAGUAAUAUGUUCUCUGUGAAACGAUUGAAUAUUUUCAUAGCCAUUUUCAAAACGUGAAGUCAGAUGUACGGCAACUCAGUUGCAUAGAUGUCCUUUUUUGCCAAGCAAAAUGGUUUAUACCUAAAUCCUUGUGGCAUGAAAACAUGAUGUCAAUAUUUAUUUAAUUUGAUGUUAAAGAAUUUACAUUUCCACCAUGAUGCAACAACAUGACACUUUACAGAUCAUUGUCCGAUUUUUGUGACAAAUUGUCAUUUCUCAAUGAUUAGACAAAUUCCCUGUACAUCAAGUUAAAUCAAAGAAAUAAUGGAGCUCCAGGGAUUACAACUGUUGAUCUGUUUCAAAUAGCUUGGCUGAUAUGAUUUUUGUUCAAAUUCUUUCUAAUUCAGUUUUUAACAGAGCCAUGGAAACACCUUAUGUUGCCAAAUUUGAUAGAUCAUUGUAUUCUCGUUCCUAGUGUUGGCCAAUGACUAACUAGCAACCGAGUCAUUUGAACCUGAAAACAUUGCAGUUGGUGUAAGAUAGCAAUUAAGUUUCGUUUUGUUGUUACAUCAUUUUCUUUAUUUCAGAUUAACUUUUCACAGUUAAGUUAUGCUGAAUCUCCAAGAUAUUGAAGAGCCCAUAAAAUCAAAUUCUUUGCUGCCACUUUUUUUUAGUGAAAAAUGAGAGAGAAUGCAGCCACUAAGAAGGUUGCCACUACUUGAGUUCUAAUUUAGGCUGAUAUAAGAUUGAUUGAUUAUAUCGGUAUUUCUUUCGGUUGCAACAAUCUGGUUUGACAUUAUUGUCAUCUAAUAAUUCUUUCAUCAGGUUAGUCCCUUGCUGCUGUUCCACAUCCAUAUUUUGGACUUGAUAUGUUUUGGAAAGUGACUUUUCCUUAAAAGUUUCCACAGGUUUUUUUUAACAGGCUGGUGAAGUCUUAGCUUCUUCAUUGCGUAGAGGUUGCGUGAGAACGGGACGUGUUUCAUCAUAAUCAAGUAAGUCAAUAGCCGCAAGUUGCAGAAGGAAAGGGUUGCAUGUCCAUCCUGCCCGAAGGUCACGGAGAUCAUUUCGUAAAACCUGUCAUGCAGUGGUGUAGAGGUUCAUGGGUGAGAACGGGCGUGUUUCACAUCAUCAUUAUUAAGCAGGAGAGAGAAAAAAAGGUAGAAAUCAGUCGAUUGAGGAUCUCCGACACGGACACGUCAACAACUGCAGUGAAUUAUCUGUCACUAACUGCAUUCCUCAUCGUGUAACCAAAUCGCAAUCAUGGCAGGUACAAUUUCCGCACGGCUCGAGUUGAAAGGUGAAUCACGAAAAGGAAAAACUUAUUAAACGAGAGAAAUGUCGAUAAAACUCAAUCAAAUGAGCAUCUCCGACAUGGCAAAUUGGCAACUUCCAGUUCGCAAUUAUGGGCAAAUAUUCUUACUUUUUUUUAUUUAGUUAUGUAUCAAUCCCAUUUGUCUCUUUUAGUUAGUAUGCCAGUUAUUAUUGAUUAUUAAUGUGGAAACUAAUUUCUCGGUUAACCAUAGCGUCGUGCUGCUGUUGGGUGUUGUAUCGUUGAUGACUGGGUCGACCACUGGUGUACCGAUGUCUUCUCUUGGUAUGGCGGAUACCAAACUGCAACGCCGCCGCCUUACUACCCAAAAGCAACUCACGCUACGACCAGUUACUGCGCCGAGACCCUUAAGUACUACACCACUAAGGUACUGGUGUAUUAUACCACAACUUAACUGCCCCCAGCUACUACCCUGACGCCCCGAAGUAUUACUCUGCCCCCAGCUACACCAACAAGGUACCGGGGUACUACACGAAUACGUAUGCUGCCCUAACCUACUACACCGAGGCUCCCAAGUACUACUCUGUCCUCAGUUACUUACUACACCGAUGGCUAAAGUAGUACUACUCUGUUCCCAGCUACUACAACGAGGCUCCGGCUGAUUACUAAACCAAAACGGUAGCUAAAAGCCUAGCUACAACACCGAAGCUCCCAAGUACUACAUCAAAGAUAUCGCACAUUACACAAGUCAACCACGUCCGCCGCCCCAGUUUACUUCACCGAGGAAUCCAAGUAUUACUCUGCUCCAAGCUACUACCAAACUGAGGCUCAUAAGUACUACACCAGCAAGGUUCCUGAGUAUUACACCCCUACUUACGCUGCUACGACCUACACAUCGAAGUUCCAUAGUAUUCCUAUGCCCUGAGUUACUACACUACUAGAGCACCGACAAAUUACAACACAAUCUUUCUUCUUCGUAUGCUGUUCCGAAUUUCCGAUUGUUGCUGUCCAAU
Molecule: long non-coding RNA, 2413 nt
Filed under: Daphnia pulex (common water flea)
Lineage: Eukaryota; Metazoa; Arthropoda; Branchiopoda; Diplostraca; Daphniidae
Description: uncharacterized LOC124193372, transcript variant X8
Source: RNAcentral